ACCGUUUCCGGGAGCCUUAAAGGGGCCGCGCCUCCGCGAUGGAUGCGGGAGCGGGGCCGACUGGCCCCCCGGGUGUUCCGCAAGCUCAUCCAACUUCCUUCUGCCUGAAUUACCAACUUCCAGGAAAAGGAGACACCGUCCUCACUCCCUGGCCUCUACCUCUUUCUUCAAGCUGUUUCCGCCUCCAGCCCCUCAUUCCUGGUUUCUAUCAGUAGAUGCCAAGCACUGGGCACUGACGCCUGGAAGCCUGGCGUGGUUCGAGCCCCCUCGUGCCAAUGAAACCUUAGAGUUCGCUUUAGAAGCUUCAGAUGUUCUACCGGCCGUGGGCGGUGGCUCACACUUGUAAUCCCAGCACCUUGGGAGGCCGAGGCGGGCGGAUCACCUGAGGUCAGAAGUUCGAGAUCAGUCUGGCCAACAUUGUGAAAUCCCGUCUCUACAAAAAAAAUUAGCCGGUUGUGGUGGCGCGCGCCUGUAAUCCCAGCAACUCGGGAGGCUGAAGCAGGAGAAUCGCUUGAACCGGGGAGGCAGAGGUUGCAGUGAGCCGAGAUCAUGCCACCGCACUGCAGCCUAGACGACAGAGCAGACCCCUUCUCGAAAAUAAAAUAAAAUGCUGGGCGCAGUGGCUCACGCUUGUAAUCCCAGCACUUUGGGAGGCCGAGGAGGGCGGAUCACUUGAGGCCAGGAAUUCGAGACCAUCCUUGCCAACAUGGUGAAACCCCGUCUCUACUAAAAAUACAAAAAAAAUCAGCCCGGCGUGGUGGCGGGCGCCUGUAGUCCGAGCUACUCCGGAGACUGAGCCAGGAGAAUGGCGUGAACCCCGGGGGCGGAGCUUGCAGUGAGCCGAGAUCGCUCCACUGCACUCUAGCCUGGGCGACACAGGGAGACUCCGUCUCAAAAAAUAUACAUAUACAAAAAUUAGCCAGGCAUGGUGGCGGGCGCCUGUAAUCCCAGCUACUUGGGAGGCUGAGGCAGGAGCAUCGCUUGAACCCGGGAGGCAGAGGUUGCAGUAAGCCGAGAUUGCACCACUGCACUGCAGCCUGGGCGACAGAACGAGAGACUCCGUCUCAAAAUAAAAUAGGCCGGGCGCCGUGGCUCACGCCUGUAAUCCCAGCACUUUGGGAGUCCGAGGCGGGUGGAUCACCCGAGGUCAGGAGUUUGAGACCAGCCUGACCAACGUGGUGAAACCCUGUCUCUACUAAAAAAUACAAAAAUUAGCCAGGCAUGGUGGCGGGCACCUGUAACACCUGUAAUCCCAGCUACAGGCUGAAGCAGGAGAAUCGCUUAAACCCGGGAGGCAGAGGUUGCAGUGAGCUGAGAUCGUGCCAUUGCACUCCAGCCUGGGCGACAGAGCAAGACUACGUCUCAAAAAAAUAAAUAACUGGCCAGGCGCAGUGGCUCAUGCCUGUAAUCCCAGCACUUUGGGAGGCCGAGGCAGGUGGAUCACAAGGUCAGGAGUUCGAGACCAGCCUGGCUAACAUGGUGAAACCCCGUCUUUACUAAAAAUACAAAAUUUAGCCAAGCAUGGUGGCAGAUGCCUGUAAUCCCAGCUACUUGGGAGGCUGAGAUAGAGAAUUGCUUGAACCCGGGAGGCAGAGGUUGCAGUGAGGCAAGAUCGUGCCACUGCACUCCAGCCUGGGCGACAAAGUGAGACUCCGUAUCGAAAAUAAAUAAGUAAAUGAAAUCAUA
This 1686-nucleotide long non-coding RNA is filed under the name Homo sapiens (human). RNAcentral's name for it is "non-protein coding lnc-BBC3-3:1". Lineage: Eukaryota; Metazoa; Chordata; Mammalia; Primates; Hominidae. The record is from RNAcentral.